RNAcentral lists this ribosomal RNA (419 nucleotides) under uncultured eukaryote. RNAcentral's name for it is "SSU rRNA". It matches the Rfam family "Eukaryotic small subunit ribosomal RNA", at positions 592 to 1013 of the family's 1831-position model. The record is from RNAcentral.
CAAUAGCGUAUAUUAAAGUUGUUGCGGUUAAAAGCUCGUAGUUGGAUUUCUGUUGACAGCGGCCGGUCCGCACUAUGUGCGUGUAUCUGGUACGGUGUCGGCAUCCUCUUGGGAUCGUUUCUGUGCUUGAUUGCAUGGGGCGGAAUUGCAAGACUUUUACUUUGAUGGAAAGAUUAGAGUGUUCACGGCAAGCUAUCGCUUUGAAUACAUUAGCAUGGAAUAAUAAUAUAGGGCGUAAGUUCUAUUUUGUUGGUUUCUAGGACGUACGCAAUGAUUAAUAGGGAUAAUUGGGGCGAUUCGUAUUAACGCGUCAGAGGUGGAAUUCUUAGAUUGCGUUACGACGAACUACUGCGAAAGCAUUUGCCAAGGAUGUUUUCAUUGAUCAAGAACGAAAGUAUGGGGAUCGAAGAUGAUCAGAU